GAUGAACGCUGGCGGCGUGCCUAAUACAUGCAAGUCGAGCGAACAGACGAGGAGCUUGCUCCUCUGACGUUAGCGGCGGACGGGUGAGUAACACGUGGAUAACCUACCUAUAAGACUGGGAUAACUUCGUGAAACCGGAGCUAAUACCGGAUAAUAUAUUGAACCGCAUGGUUCAAUAGUGAAAGACGGUUUUGCUGUCACUUAUAGAUAGAUUCGCGCCGCAUUAGCUAGUUUGUAAUGUAACGGCUUACCAAGGCGACGAUGCGUAGCCGACCUGAGAGGGUGAUCGGCCACACUAGAGCUGAGACACGGACCAGACUCCUACGGGAGGCAGCGGUAGGGAAUCUUCCGCAAUGGGCGAAAGCCUGACGGAGCGACGCCGCGUGAGUGAUGAAGGGCUUCGGAUCGUAAGACUCUGUUAUUAGGGAAGAACAAAUGUGUGAGUAACUAUGCACGUCUUGACGGUACCUAAUCAGAAAGCCACGGCUAACUACGUG
Molecule: ribosomal RNA, 497 nt
Filed under: uncultured bacterium
Lineage: Bacteria
Description: partial 16S ribosomal RNA
Rfam family: Bacterial small subunit ribosomal RNA
Source: RNAcentral